ACCAGGUACAAAAUCCCCUGGGACAAAACAGAACUUUCAUAACUGGCUGUAGAGUUAUUGUUUUUGCCUUUUGGAAGCUUCCACCUUGUGACGGGAAGAGCACUGUCAGCCCAACACAGAAACUCUGCCGCCUGGAGUCACGUGGAUCCAGAUGCGAAGGGACUCCAACGUCAUGCUAAGGAGUUUGGGCUAAGAAUUUGUACAGCCAUAUUACAGAUUUGGAAAAUGAUGUGAAGAGAAGCUAAGGGAUUUGCCACUGCCACUCAGCUGCCAAGGAUCAGAGACAUUACUUCUACUUCUCAACGUCCAUCCUCCAACCAUUGUCCAGUGAUUCAGGCAGAAUUCCCUCCUGCUCAGGAGGUAGCCAUCCUGUGACCCUGGAAGAAACCAGCCCAAGGAAGGUGCUAACCUACAGAAGAAGGACAUGGCCAGGGUAAUCACAUAGACCCGGAGUUGAAGCCCUGACUGCACCACACCCGAAGCCUCCCCACCUUUCAACCUCUCGGUGAUGGUGAACCAAUAAACUCUUUUUAUUGUUCAAGCCAAAAAAAAAAAAAAA
This 559-nucleotide long non-coding RNA is filed under the name Homo sapiens (human). RNAcentral describes it as "long independently transcribed non-coding RNA 1767 (LINC01767)". Lineage: Eukaryota; Metazoa; Chordata; Mammalia; Primates; Hominidae. The record is from RNAcentral.